RNAcentral lists this ribosomal RNA (468 nucleotides) under uncultured bacterium. RNAcentral's name for it is "partial 16S ribosomal RNA". It matches the Rfam family "Bacterial small subunit ribosomal RNA", at positions 28 to 507 of the family's 1533-position model. The record is from RNAcentral.
GAUGAACGCUGGCGGCGUGCUUAACACAUGCAAGUCGAACGGAAAGGCCCAAGCUUGCUUGGGUACUCGAGUGGCGAACGGGUGAGUAACACGUGGGUGAUCUGCCCUGCACUUCGGGAUAAGCCUGGGAAACUGGGUCUAAUACCGGAUAGGACCACUUCUUGGAUGUUGUGGUGGAAAGAUUUUUCGGUGUGGGAUGAGCUCGCGGCCUAUCAGCUUGUUUGUGGGGUAAUGGCCUACCAAGGCGUCGACGGGUGGCCGGCCUGAGAGGGUGUACGGCCACAUUGGGACUGAGAGGCGGCCCAGACUGCUACGGGAGGCAGCAGUGGGGAAUAUUGCACAAUGGGCGCAAGCCUGAUGCAGCGACGCCGCGUGGGGGAUGACGGCCUUCGGGUUGUAAACUCCUUUCGCUAGGGAAGAAGCGUUUUUGUGACGGUACCUGGAGAAGAAGCACCGGCUAACUACGUG